UACAUGCAAGUCGAACGAGUUCUCGUUGAUGAUCGGUGCUUGCACCGAGAUUCAACAUGGAACGAGUGGCGGACGGGUGAGUAACACGUGGGUAACCUGCCCUUAAGUGGGGGAUAACAUUUGGAAACAGAUGCUAAUACCGCAUAGAUCCAAGAACCGCAUGGUUCUUGGCUGAAAGAUGGCGUAAGCUAUCGCUUUUGGAUGGACCCGCGGCGUAUUAGCUAGUUGGUGAGGUAAUGGCUCACCAAGGCGAUGAUACGUAGCCGAACUGAGAGGUUGAUCGGCCACAUUGGGACUGAGACACGGCCCAAACUCCUACGGGAGGCAGCAGUAGGGAAUCUUCCACAAUGGACGCAAGUCUGAUGGAGCAACGCCGCGUGAGUGAAGAAGGCUUUCGGGUCGUAAAACUCUGUUGUUGGAGAAGAAUGGUCGGCAGAGUAACUGUUGUCGGCGUGACGGUAUCCAACCAGAAAGCCACGGCUAACUACGUGCCAGCAGCCGCGGUAAUACGUAGGUGGCAAGCGUUAUCCGGAUUUAUUGGGCGUAAAGCGAGCGCAGGCGGUUUUUUAAGUCUGAUGUGAAAGCCCUCGGCUUAACCGAGGAAGCGCAUCGGAAACUGGGAAACUUGAGUGCAGAAGAGGACAGUGGAACUCCAUGUGUAGCGGUGAAAUGCGUAGAUAUAUGGAAGAACACCAGUGGCGAAGGCGGCUGUCUGGUCUGUAACUGACGCUGAGGCUCGAAAGCAUGGGUAGCGAACAGGAUUAGAUACCCUGGUAGUCCAUGCCGUAAACGAUGAAUGCUAGGUGUUGGAGGGUUUCCGCCCUUCAGUGCCGCAGCUAACGCAUUAAGCAUUCCGCCUGGGGAGUACGACCGCAAGGUUGAAACUCAAAGGAAUUGACGGGGGCCCGCACAAGCGGUGGAGCAUGUGGUUUAAUUCGAAGCAACGCGAAGAACCUUACCAGGUCUUGACAUCUUUUGAUCACCUGAGAGAUCAGGUUUCCCCUUCGGGGGCAAAAUGACAGGUGGUGCAUGGUUGUCGUCAGCUCGUGUCGUGAGAUGUUGGGUUAAGUCCCGCAACGAGCGCAACCCUUAUGACUAGUUGCCAGCAUUUAGUUGGGCACUCUAGUAAGACUGCCGGUGACAAACCGGAGGAAGGUGGGGAUGACGUCAAAUCAUCAUGCCCCUUAUGACCUGGGCUACACACGUGCUACAAUGGAUGGUACAACGAGUUGCGAGACCGCGAGGUCAAGCUAAUCUCUUAAAGCCAUUCUCAGUUCGGACUGUAGGCUGCAACUCGCCUACACGAAGUCGGAAUCGCUAGUAAUCGCGGAUCAGCACGCCGCGGUGAAUACGUUCCCGGGCCUUGUACACACCGCCCGUCACACCUGAGAGUUUGUAACACCCGAAGCCGGUGGCGUAACCCUUUUAGGGAGCGAGCCGU
Molecule: ribosomal RNA, 1441 nt
Filed under: Lacticaseibacillus paracasei
Lineage: Bacteria; Bacillati; Bacillota; Bacilli; Lactobacillales; Lactobacillaceae
Description: bacterial SSU rRNA
Rfam family: Bacterial small subunit ribosomal RNA
Source: RNAcentral